AUGAUCACCUCUGAGCUCCACCACCCCACCACCCCCGCACUGCCUGCCAGAUCGGAGCGCCACCCCACCAACCUAGUCGCGUCCUGCAGCGCCAACCGGAGCGCGCCGGCUCGCCGGUCGAUGGGGCGGAAGCGCGCGGUGCUGGUGGGCAUCAACUACCCGGGCACGGAGGGGGAGCUCAAGGGCUGCCUCAACGACGUGGCCCGCAUGCGCCGCUGCCUCGUCGACCGCUUCGGCUUCGACGACGCCGACAUCCGCGUCCUCGCCGACGCCGACCCGUCCACGCCGCCGCCCACGGGCGCCAAAAUCCGGCUCGAGCUCGAGCGGCUCGUCGGCGGCGCGCGGCCCGGGGACUCCCUCUUCUUCCACUACAGCGGCCACGGCCUGCAGCUGCCCGCCGAGACCGGCGAGGACGACGACACCGGCUACGACGAGUGCAUCGUGCCCUGCGACACCAAUCUCAUCAAAGACCAAGACUUCACGGAGCUCGUGCGGAAAGUGCCCGAUGGCUGCCUCUUCACCAUGGUAUCCGAUUCGUGCCACAGCGGCGGCCUCAUCGACAAGACCAAGGAGCAGAUCGGGAACAGCACCAAGCAGAGCAGGGCCCGGCAGCGGCAGCGGCCUCCGUCCGCCGGCGCCAACCUGUGCGCCUCGCUCCUCGGGGUCGUCCGGGGCGCGCUCGAGUACGUCGGCAUCCGCCUCUCCCGCCGCGCCAAGCAGGCGGGCCCGCCGGCCGGCACCGCCACCGCCACGAGCCGGUCGCUGCCCCUGUCGACGUACAUCCGGAUGCUCAAGGAGCAGACCGGGAAGGACGACGUCGGCGUGGGCUCCAUCCGGACGACGCUGUUCCACCACUUCGGCGACGACGCCACGCCCAAGAUCAAGAAGUUCGUCAAGGCCGUGGUGCACUGCCACGGCAAGCUCCGGCAUGGCGCUGACCAGGCCGCCAUGGUCACGGAGCUGACCCCGAAGGCUAAGCCGGAGGGCGGCGACGGCGGGGAUCAGGCCGGCGCGCUCGGACCAGCCAUGGAGCAGGAGGUGCGGAGCGUCGAGGAGGUGUACGCAGGCGCCGCCGCGGCGAAGGUCCCGCCGCCACGCAACGGCGUGCUGAUCAGCGGGUGCCAGACCGACGAGUCCUCGGCGGACCUGACCACGGCCAGCGGCGUGUCCUACGGCGCGCUCAGCAACGCCAUUCAGGCCGUCCUCGCGGAGGAGAAGCGCGGGAAGAAGGUGACCAACAGGGAGCUCGUGCAGAGGGCGCGCGGGCUGCUGGCCAAGCAGGGCUACGUCCAGCAGCCCGGCCUCUACUGCAGCGACGAGCACGCCGAUGCUGCCUUCAUAUGCUGA
RNAcentral lists this ribosomal RNA (1347 nucleotides) under Triticum aestivum (bread wheat). RNAcentral describes it as "partial small subunit ribosomal RNA". The record is from RNAcentral. Lineage: Eukaryota; Viridiplantae; Streptophyta; Magnoliopsida; Poales; Poaceae.